This is a long non-coding RNA of Chinchilla lanigera (long-tailed chinchilla), 1207 nucleotides long. RefSeq lists it as uncharacterized. The transcript has 5 exons. Lineage: Eukaryota; Metazoa; Chordata; Mammalia; Rodentia; Chinchillidae. The record is from RefSeq and is a predicted model, not a curated record.
UCGGCCUCCGUAGUUCCCGAACUGCCCGCCGCAAUGCCUGCUGGGGCUUGAAGUCCUUAUCAUCCGGGCCAGAAAGCCUGCAGGUUUUCAAUUGGCACAGUUCCGGCAGCAGUGCCAUCAGCAGCGGUGGGGCCUUUCAGAGGUGGGGCCUAGCACGUCCCUGGGGGCGUGGUCUGCCAGAGGAUGACGGCAGCCGUGGCAGCCACCAUCUCACCCACCCAUCUCUUCCUCUUUUUACCCAUAAUUGCCAAGAGGUUAGGAGCUUUGCCACAGCCACACACCCCUGCCAUAUUGUGCUGCCUUGUGGCAGGCCCAAAAGCAAGGGACCAAGCCGUUGUGGACGCAGACCUGCAAAACUGUGAGCCGAGGGCCUCGAAAAAAUGAGCUUCUCUGAUUGGACAGGUUGGGUCACGUGCUCCACGUCGCCAAGAAAAACUGGGACGUACUGAUCUGUACGGUCACCAGCUUCACGUAGAACAAUUCCUUAAAGAAAGAUGGGAGGCUGCCGAAACCAGAAGAAAGGGAAAAACUGAGUCCCCACAAGGAGGAGCAAGGAGCCGUUCGCCUUGGAAAAUGACAGAAGGAGCUGGGUACUGAUAGCAGGCUCAGAGGGAAAUCACAAGAAAGGCAAGAAAGCCAGGCUUACUCGUACCAGCAGUAAGAGGAACUGAGUUAUUUCACGCGGAUGACGGGAACAAAAACAAUGGAGAGGCGACUUAACAGCAGCCUUCACCAGAACCACGGGCAGGGUGUGGCGUCCCUGGUGUUUUUCCAUAGCCUCACUCUGACCUGGAUCGGAGGCACAUCUGUCCCCCUUCCGCCCAUCCCACUUUUACGCUUCUACGUCCACCUCUUGGGAAGCAAAUUGUUCCACUUCCACAGCAAGGAAUAGCUGAGUCAAUGGUACUCAUUUGAGAAGAAGGUUCUGGUUUUGUGACACACGUUUUUGAGAUGAGGAACUGAGCGUCUCAGACUUGUCCAUAGCCAUAGCUGGCUCCUGCUUGUGUGGCCAGGAUCUUUGCGGCCAGGAACAUUUUCCUCACUUAACAAACGUUUGUGUAGAAAAGAUGGUAAGAGAAGAGACUUCCACAAGCCAGGGGUCUUGGCCUUUCUUCUCUACCAGAAAUACCCAUCACAUCGGCCUGUCUGGUUCCAAGAAUGUGAUUCUGGAAACAUAGCUGCAAAUGAAUAAAGAGUCCAGGGAAAG